Molecule: ribosomal RNA, 292 nt
Filed under: uncultured bacterium
Lineage: Bacteria
Description: partial 16S ribosomal RNA
Rfam family: Bacterial small subunit ribosomal RNA
Source: RNAcentral
GUGCCAGCCGCCGCGGUAAUACGAAGGGGGCUAGCGUUGCUCGGAAUCACUGGGCGUAAAGCGCACGUAGGCGGCUUUUUAAGUCAGGGGUGAAAUCCUGGAGCUUAACUCCAGAACUGCCUUUGAUACUGGGAAGCUAGAGUCCGGAAGAGGUGAGUGGAACUGCGAGUGUAGAGGUGAAAUUCGUAGAUAUUCGCAAGAACACCAGUGGCGAAGGCGGCUCACUGGUCCGGUACUGACGCUGAGGUGCGAAAGCGUGGGGAGCAAACAGGAUUAGAUACCCUCGUAGUCC